Molecule: ribosomal RNA, 404 nt
Filed under: Actinomycetes bacterium
Lineage: Bacteria; Bacillati; Actinomycetota; Actinomycetes
Description: Actinobacteria bacterium partial 16S ribosomal RNA
Rfam family: Bacterial small subunit ribosomal RNA
Source: RNAcentral
UGGGGAAUAUUGGACAAUGGGCGCAAGCCUGAUCCAGCCAUGCCGCGUGAGUGAUGAAGGCCCUAGGGUUGUAAAGCUCUUUCACCGGUGAAGAUAAUGACGGUAACCGGAGAAGAAGCCCCGGCUAACUUCGUGCCAGCAGCCGCGGUAAUACGAAGGGGGCUAGCGUUGUUCGGAUUUACUGGGCGUAAAGCGCACGUAGGCGGACUUUUAAGUCAGGGGUGAAAUCCCGGGGCUCAACCCCGGAACUGCCUUUGAUACUGGAAGUCUUGAGUAUGGUAGAGGUGAGUGGAAUUCCGAGUGUAGAGGUGAAAUUCGUAUAUAUUCGGAGGAACACCAGUGGCGAAGGCGGCUCACUGGACCAUUACUGACGCUGAGGUGCGAAAGCGUGGGGAGCAAACAGG